RNAcentral lists this ribosomal RNA (254 nucleotides) under uncultured bacterium. RNAcentral's name for it is "partial 16S ribosomal RNA". It matches the Rfam family "Bacterial small subunit ribosomal RNA", at positions 524 to 776 of the family's 1533-position model. The record is from RNAcentral.
UACGAAGGGUGCAAGCGUUACUCGGAAUUACUGGGGCGUAAAGCGUGCGUAGGUGGUUCGUUAAGUCUGAUGUGAAAGCCCUGGGCUCAACCUGGGAAUGGCAUUGGAAACUGGCGACCUAGAGUGCGGUAGAGGGUAGUGGAAUUCCCGGUGUAGCAGUGAAAUGCGUAGAGAUCGGGAGGAACAUCUGUGGCGAAGGCGACUGCCUGGACCAGCACUGACACUGAGGCACGAAAGCGUGGGGAGCAAACAGG